This 76-nucleotide transfer RNA is filed under the name Agathobaculum butyriciproducens. RNAcentral's name for it is "tRNA-Glu". It matches the Rfam family "tRNA". From Rfam's summary of the family: Transfer RNA (tRNA) molecules are approximately 80 nucleotides in length. Their secondary structure includes four short double-helical elements and three loops (D, anti-codon, and T loops). The record is from RNAcentral. Lineage: Bacteria; Bacillati; Bacillota; Clostridia; Eubacteriales; Butyricicoccaceae.
GGUCUGGUCGUCUAACAGGUCAGGACACCGCCCUUUCAAGGCGGAAAUGCCGGUUCGAGUCCGGUUCAGAUUACCA